AUAUGGCUGAGAAAGUUUAUGUUAUCCCAAAAGAAAAAUCUAAAGUUCGAAACUAAACAAUUUCCAGAAGGAUGGUGUUUCAUAAGGAGGAACUAUGGAUUCCGACUGGGAGGUGUUUUCAUUGUACACGGCUCCAACCCAAUACACAUAGUGAAGAGCGAAGACGACGCCACUUCAUUUACAGCUCACAUGGAACGGAAUCGAACAAAAUACCUUUUUACUAGAAUUGUAGUAUAGAAAGGCUGAAUGAAAUACUAGAAAGGUACAAGUGUUAAUGUAUAAGCUAGACAUGUGACUAUGUACCCUGUUGAGAAGGCAAGGGCCCCAUGCUUUUCCUUGUUUGUAAACUUAUAGCUUUGUCUUUUAAUUUUCAAAAUUUGUUUUUAUGACA
Molecule: long non-coding RNA, 391 nt
Organism: Lactuca sativa (garden lettuce)
Lineage: Eukaryota; Viridiplantae; Streptophyta; Magnoliopsida; Asterales; Asteraceae
Source: RefSeq, a predicted model, not a curated record